Molecule: non-coding RNA, 3016 nt
Organism: Odocoileus virginianus texanus
Lineage: Eukaryota; Metazoa; Chordata; Mammalia; Artiodactyla; Cervidae
Source: RefSeq, a predicted model, not a curated record
CCGGAAUCUGCUUGGGACUUCGGGUCGGAGGUCUGUGAGCUCCGGAGGCCGCGGGGAAACUGAUUGUCCGUGGGCCAGUGAGACCAAAGAGAAACUUUAUCAGAAAGGAUGGAGUUGGGACAAGGAAAACUUCUCAGGACUGGACUGAAUGCAUUAUAUCAAGCAAUACACCCAAUUCACGGCCUUGCUUGGACUGAUGGGACUCGGGUAGUCCUGACCAGUUUACAGCUUCACGGUGGAGAGGCCAAAUUGGGGGACUCAAUGGUCCUUGGACAGUUUGAACAGGUGUAUGGGGUGUCCUGGGCCCCGCCUGGUGCCACUGACAUACCCACUCUGCUCGCUGUCCAGCACAGGAAGUAUGUCAUCGUGUGGCAGCUGUGUCCUAGCCCUGCAGAGACAAGCAAGUGGCUGAUAUCUCAGCCCUGUGAGAUCAGACAGUCAUGCCCUGUCCUUCCCCAGGGCUGUGUGUGGCACCCAGAAAGUGCCAUCCUGACUGUGUUGACUGCUUGGGAUGUCUCCGUGUUCUACAACGUCCACUGUGACAGUUCCCAAGUCAAAGUGGACGUCAGCACCCAAGGCCUCAUUCACUGUGCAUGUUGGACCCAGGAUGGCCAGAGGCUGGUGGUGGCAGCAGGCAGCAGCCUACAUUCUUACAUUUGGGACAAUGUUCAGAAGACCCUUCAUAGGUGCUCCCUCUGUCCCAUGUUUGAUGUGGACAGCUACGUGCGCUCAAUUGGAGCCACUGUGGACUCACAGGUCGUUAUAGCCACUGAGCUUCCGCUGGAUAAGAUUUGUAGGUUAAAUGCUUGUGGAACUUUUGACGUUCCCCCUAGUGGUGAAGACACUUGCCUGUAUGCUUUACCAGUUACUGAUCCAGUUUCCUCUGAAACAAACUCUGAAACACCAGUGUCGUCAUCCUUUUCUGAGCCUCUGGAUCUAACUCAUAUCCGCUUCAACAGAACUAAAUCUGAGGGUAGUUCUCUUACUUGUCUAAGGAAAAAAGACUACUUGACAGGAACUGGCCUGGAUUCUUCACAUUUGGUCCUCUUGACCUUUGAGAAGGAGGUUACCUGCAACAGAAAAGUAAUCAUUCCAGGCAUUCUGGUUCCUGAUCUAAUAGCAUUUAAUCUUAAAGCACAAGCAGUCGCAGUGGCUUCCAAUACAUCUAAUGUAAUUUUUAUCUAUUCUGUCAUUCCGUUAUUAAUGCCAAACAUCCAGCAGAUUCAGUUAGAGAGUAAUGAAAGACCAAAAGGCAUAUGUUUCUUGACAGAUAAAUUACUGUUAAUUUUGGUGGGAAGACAAAAGUCCACUGACUCGGCAUUUCUUCCUUCUUCAAAAUCUGAUCAGUAUAUGAUUCGUUUGAUUGUUAGAGAGGUAAUGCUGAAAGAAGACUUUCCAGUGACACUGAGUGAAAACCAGAAUGAUAACUCUUCUUUCAGUACUCUGUUAAAUAAAACAAAUAUAGAAAAGCUAAUUGAAGAUCUUUCACCAGAAUUUUUUAACCAAAGCGGAGGGCUCUUGUUCACAGCUAAUAGCAGCAGUCAAAGUGGAAGGCCUGGAAGAACCCUUAUUAAGGAAACAGAAAGUCCUGCAUCCAGCAUCUGUGAUGGCUCCACAGUCCUAGAAACUCUAGAUGCCGGGCCUGUUAACUCGUCAGUAACACUGCCCAGACCCAGCGGUACACCAGCCCACAUCAGUACCACAGAACCUCCUAACUUAGAACGGGAAGAGGAAACGUACCGGCUGUCUAAGGAACUGGAAAUUGUAUCUAGGAACCUGAGUGAGGUGCAGCGAUGUCUUUCUGAACUCAGUGACUUUCUGCACAAUGGAAAGAAAUCCUCUCCAGUGUACCCACUCUCUCAGGAUCUGCCUUAUGUUCACAUCACUUGCCAGAAAUCUCAUUUUUUAGGUCCUGUUGUUGAAAAAAGAAUGAUGCUUCUCUGCAAUGGCAAGCUAAGACUCAGCACAGUCCAGCAGACUUUCGGCCUCUCUCUUGUUGAAAUGCUGCAUGACUUCCACUGGAUCCUUCUCUGUGCGGACAGUGAAGGCUUCGUCCCCUUAACUUUCACAGCCACACAGGAAAUAAUCAUAAGAGAUGGCAGGUCAGAUGACUUCUGAAACUCUGUCUCAGAGCACUGAUAGCAGUCCUUCUCUUGGAGUCUUCAGUGAUGGAUUCCCCAAAGCGGAGAUACCACCAGCUCUUCUGACCAUACUGGCAGUGUAGUCUGAUACUUACCAGCAGAGUGUGUGCCGCACAGCCUCGCAGAUGAGGCCCUUACUAACAAGAGCUGUUUUCCACGGUGGACACUCCCCAGCUGGGAUCUGCAGGGCCGCUGGGAGGUGAAGCGCUUGCCAUGGCUGGCUCCGCCACUCUUCCCCCCAGGCUGCUGUUCCCUGCUCUGCAGCAGAGCCCAGUCUUUGUUAGAUGGCUCAGAAAGCAGUUAUUUAUGUAUUCAUGACUGUGUGGUUUUGUCUAAGGGCAGAAUUCCCGGCACAAAACAAUAUUAUGGUGCCAUAUGGAUUGUGUUUUAUGGUUUCUCUGAGGCUUUCUGUCCCUUGCCCAAAACAGCAUUAAAGCUCUUAGAAGCACUUAAAAGGUACCUCAGGAUUGUAAUAGAUCUUGGCUUCAAGUUGAGUGUGAGGAGUGCUGGAGAACAUCUGCUCCAGCGUCUCUUUUUACCCUAAAUGAGCAGGAAUGCACAGAGCUCAAAGGAAAACAAAAAAUCGAUUCAUUUCUGCUCCCAGGACUACCUCGAACAGGAAGUAGUUCUGAUGUUGGAUUUAAACUGAACCCUCUCACUUCCCUAGAAAAUUCUGGCUGACAAAAAAGUCCAGGAACUCCUGAAAUCUGGCCCUGGGCAAAUUUCAAAUGAUACUUAAAGUGCUUUGACUUCUUCUGGGCCCCACUGAAGCGUGUCCUGAUGGUACUGGUACAGUGCCAAGCACAGGUGGCACGCAGAAUUUCCCAGACCAAGGAUUGAACUUAGGCCCGCUGCAUUGGAAGUGAAGAGUGCCA